Molecule: ribosomal RNA, 497 nt
Filed under: uncultured bacterium
Lineage: Bacteria
Description: partial 16S ribosomal RNA
Rfam family: Bacterial small subunit ribosomal RNA
Source: RNAcentral
GACGAACGCUGGCGGCGUGCCUAAUACAUGCAAGUUGAGCGCUGAAGGUUGGUACUUGUACCAACUGGAUGAGCAGCGAACGGGUGAGUAACGCGUGGGGAAUCUGCCUUUGAGCGGGGGACAACAUUUGGAAACGAAUGCUAAUACCGCAUAAAAACUUUAAACACAAGUUUUAAGUUUGAAAGAUGCAAUUGCAUCACUCAAAGAUGAUCCCGCGUUGUAUUAGCUAGUUGGUGAGGUAAAGGCUCACCAAGGCGAUGAUACAUAGCCGACCCGAGAGGGUGAUCGGCCACAUUGGGACUGAGACACGGCCCAAACUCCUACGGGAGGCAGCAGUAGGGAAUCUUCGGCAAUGGACGAAAGUCUGACCGAGCAACGCCGCGUGAGUGAAGAAGGUUGUCGGAUCGUAAAACUCUGUUGGUAGAGAAGAACGUUGGUGAGAGUGGAAAGCUCAUCAAGUGACGGUAACUACCCAGAAAGGGACGGCUAACUACGUG